CACACACACACACACAAAUAUGCAGAAUGUGUUUCAUCUCAGCAGUGUCCUCCCUGUGCUUGGGGAAAGGGGUCUUUUCUCAUGAGGCUGUCUUACAAAAUAGACCCCAUGAAAAUUAAAUUACAUUUCACCACUCUCACUCUCGUGAGAAAUCCCCCAUGAGUUAUGAGUGUGUGUGUGUGUGUGUGUGUGUGUGUGUAUUAGUAUUCAUUGCAUGCCUGUGUAAGAGAGUAUGUCGAUGCGUAUGUGUGGAUAUCAUAUGUGUGUGCUUUUGCGUCAGUGUGUGUGUGUGUGUGUGUGUGUGUUUCGGAUGCCCUCGUUUCAUCUGGAUUAAGUGCAUCAGUGGACACCCUCCCCACUCCCCAGACCUGAGCUAUGGCGUCUCUGCGAUAGGGCCGUCCAUUUGUCUUGUGUGUGUGUGUGUGUGUGUGUGUGUGUGUGUCUGUGUGCCGUCCAUUUGUCUUGACUGGGUUUGUUGUUCUUAGUAUGUGACCUCACCGACAGUAGUGAUAAUAUCAACCAAUGGCGGCAGUUAAUUGGAACCAGUGCUGGGGGAGUUUCUAGAAGGUUCUCUCUCUCGCUGCCUGAGCUGUGGAGCUCUGGUCAACCGCCAGCAACUUUAUCACAAACACUCAGAACAACUACAGUAUCAGCAGAGAUGUGUGUGUGUGUGUGUGUCCUCUCCUCUCCCCUCCCCUCCGGAUGCAUCCAGCACUCAGCGUCAGGGUUCGAGAAGGUUCUGCCAGAGUGGAACAACUACAGUAUCAGCAGAGAUGUGUGUGUGUGUAUGUGUGUGUGUGUCCUCUCCCCUCCCCUCCGGAUGCAAAUGGUGUCAGAAGUGGGUGAGGUCAUCGGAGGGGCACCCUUGAACACUGUGUGAGGGACCCCCAGGAAUGUUGACCCCGUGUGAAGGACCCCAUGGUUGGGUGAAGCACUGUGUGAGGGACCCCCAGGAAUGUUGACCCCGUGGUUGGGACCCCAUGGUUGGGUGAAGCACUGUGUGAGGGACCCCCAGGAAUGUUGACCCCGUGUGAAGGACCCCAUGGUUGGGUGAAGCACUUGUGUGAGGGACCCCCAGGAAUGUUGACCCUGUGUGAAGGACCCCAUGGUUGGGUGAAGCACUUGUGUGUGUGGGGUGCUCUGGAUGGGAGAAGCAUGAUUGGUGUAUGCGUGAGGGAUAUCUGUGUACGUGAAGCUUCCCGAAGGUGAGGGCAGUGUGAUCGUCCCUACGGUUGUAUAUGGGAGCGUGGUCACCCCACCCGGACUCGAACCCGGGUCUACAGGGUGCCAAAACAUGCACUCUGACCGCCACACCAAAAGAGCCCUGCUCAAUGGCAUGGCAGCCAGAGAGCAUAUUCAACCAUAGAGACGAUCACAUCGUCACAGAGUGUUGAAUAGAAAUGUCUGCGGGCAGGAAGAGUGACCUUGCAGC
This is a long non-coding RNA of Clupea harengus (Atlantic herring), 1432 nucleotides long. NCBI's taxonomy places the organism in Eukaryota, Metazoa, Chordata, Actinopteri, Clupeiformes, Clupeidae. The record is from Ensembl.